Molecule: ribosomal RNA, 324 nt
Filed under: uncultured soil bacterium
Lineage: Bacteria
Description: bacterial SSU rRNA
Rfam family: Bacterial small subunit ribosomal RNA
Source: RNAcentral
AGGACGAACGCUGGCGGCGUGCCUAACACAUGCAAGUCGAACGGGACCAGGGGCAACUCUGGUUCAGUGGCGGACGGGUGCGUAACACGUGAGGAACAUGACCUUCGGCGGGGGAUAGCCGGCCCAACGGCCGGGUAAUACCGCGUACGACCACAUGGGGACGUCCCUGAGUGGUGAAAGCAGCAAUGCGCCGAUGGAGUGCCUCGCGGCCUAUCAGCUAGUUGGUGAGGUAACGGCUCACCAAGGCGACGACGGUAGCUGGUCUGAGAGGAUGGCCAGCCACAGUUGGGACUGAGACACGGCCCAGACUCCUACGGGGAGCAG